This 1133-nucleotide ribosomal RNA is filed under the name human gut metagenome. RNAcentral describes it as "bacterial LSU rRNA". It matches the Rfam family "Bacterial large subunit ribosomal RNA", at positions 1331 to 2518 of the family's 2925-position model. The record is from RNAcentral.
AUGCCAUCGAAAGUCUAAGGUUUCCUGGGGAAGGUUCGUCCGCCCAGGGUAAGUCGGGACCUAAGGAGAGGCCGAAAAGCGUAUCCGAUGGACAGCAGGUAGAGAUUCCUGCACUACGAUAUAUUUAGAAACUAUAACUGACACAGGAAUGGAAGGUAAGCGAGGAAGAGGAAAAACUCGUAUCGAAAGAUAUAGUGAAAAUAAGUAACGAAUUAUCAAGAAAUACACUGGCGAGAAAAGGUUGUAGAAAUUGUAUAUAGUACCCGUACCGCAAACCGACACAGGUAGAUGAGGAGAAGAUCCUAAGAUGAGCGAGAGAAGCAUUGUUAAGGAACUCGGCAAACUGACCCCGUAACUUAGGGAGAAGGGGUGCCAAGGUAAAACUUGGUCGCAGAGAAUAGUCCCAAGCAACUGUUUAACAAAAACAUAGGUUUCUGCUAAAUCGAAAGAUGAAGUAUAGGAGCUGACACCUGCCCAGUGCUGGAAGGUUAAGGGGAAAUGUCAGGAGUAAUCCGAAGCAUAGAACCAAAGCCCCAGUGAACGGCGGCCGUAACUAUAACGGUCCUAAGGUAGCGAAAUUCCUUGUCAGGUAAGUUCUGACCCGCACGAAAGGUGUAAUGAUUUGGGAGCUGUCUCGACAAUGUACUCGGCGAAAUUGUAGUACUAGUGAAGAUGCUAGUUACCUGCGACAAGACAGAAAGACCCCAUGGAGCUUUACUGCAACUUGAUACUGGGUCUAGGUAAUUUAUGUACAGGAUAGGUGGGAGACUAUGAAACUUUGGCGCUAGCUGAAGUGGAGUCAUCCUUGGGAUACCACCCUUAAGUUACUUGGAUUCUAACCUGCCGUCAUAAACUGGCGGGGGGACAAUGUCAGGUGGGCAGUUUGACUGGGGCGGUCGCCUCCUAAAGAGUAACGGAGGCGCGCAAAGGUUUCCUCAGCGCGGACAGAAAUCGCGCGAAAGAGUGCAAAGGCAGAAGGAAGCUUAACUGAGAGACUGACAAGUCGACCAGAUACGAAAGUAGGUCUUAGUGAUCCGGUGGUUGUAAGUGGAAAUGCCAUCGCUCAACGGACAAAAGUUACCCUGGGGAUAACAGGCUUAUCUCCCCCAAGAGUUCACAUCGACGGGGAGGUU